AUUAAAACACUGGUUAUCAUACGAUCACCGAAGUUAAGCAAUGUUGAACCUCGCCAGUACCUAGAUGGGUGACCAUUUGGGAAUACUGGGUGCUGUAAG
Non-coding RNA from Acanthosepion pharaonis, 99 nucleotides. The record is from the annotation of a GenBank genome assembly. NCBI's taxonomy places the organism in Eukaryota, Metazoa, Mollusca, Cephalopoda, Sepiida, Sepiidae.